Long non-coding RNA from Raphanus sativus (radish), 1776 nucleotides. RefSeq lists it as uncharacterized. The transcript has 4 exons. The record is from RefSeq and is a predicted model, not a curated record. NCBI's taxonomy places the organism in Eukaryota, Viridiplantae, Streptophyta, Magnoliopsida, Brassicales, Brassicaceae.
UUUUGCUAGAAAUAUGAUAACAUAUAUUUAUGUUAACCAUUAAAUUAAAAGUAAUAAAUUGUAACUUUUAUUGAUAAAAGUACUUUAUAAUGUUUAUAAUUUUCAUUUAAAUUAUUAAAAUUUAUUAUAUAAUUAAACGGGGCUAGUUAAUAGGCCAAACUAUAUUUAUAAAAAAUUGAAUAAAAAGUAUCAAAAUUGUAUUUUGAAUCCAAAAUGUUUAGCAAAGCCCGAAUUUUCUGAUAUGGUCGAAGCCCAGUCGAUUGUUUGGUUCAGUUUUCAAUAGAGUCCAGUUUUUUUUGCCAUGUUUCAAACAACUUUACAAUUUCUGAAAAAUUAGACUCAAAUGGCGAUUGAAGCAGAAGAAAUGGGAAUUCCACGAUUCGACAUUUUAGUGAUUACCUUAAUAUAUUUUCACGCAGAUGACCAGGCCAGCUUAAAAGACACAAGUCUUACCGUAGUUUUUUUUUUGACGAAAAGUCUUACCGUAGUUUUGUUAAAGUCUCCGUCUUUCUAUGCGGAAAUCUGAAAAUUUUUAUUUGAAUCCAAAGAGAAAAAAAAAGAAAACUUUUUCGUCAUCUCCAAGGUUUGCUCCUUUCCUGUAUUUUCUUCAUAGUUGAUAGAUAUAGUUGUCAACCAUGAUUCUACUUAACCAAUAUUAUUUUUGAUUUAUUUUGCAUGUCCUGUCCGAUGGCUUAAAAGAACCUGUUCAAGUAAGGUCGUUCGAUUUAGUAUUCAUCGGAGUAAUCUCUAAAGGUUUGUCUUCGAUUGCCAGUAAAUCGUUCAUACCUUUUUUUUAUCGAUCUUUUUUCUCUAGAAACUUAUUUAUACCAAAUUUUUAUUAUUUAACAUUUAGUUUGUAUAAUAUAUAAAUAGCUAAUAUAAAUAUCUUAGAUAAUUUAAAAUUUAGUAAUUAGUAAAAUUAAUCUUUGCUAUAAAUAUAUUAUCUAUAUAAGGACUUCAUCCGAUCAUUCAUGGUAAAUCCUCAGUUACAUCUGUUUAAUCUUAUUGAUCUGCCAUAGCUAUCUCGUUCUCUUUGAAAGUGUUUUUAUGAAGAUCAAACAUAAAUCACAUCUAACUUUUUUUUAAAUCUGUCUUGCAUGUUGGAUCCGAUCACUUUCUUGCUUAUUCCGAUGAGAUGGAAACUUGUUGCGAUGACUUCUUAGUAAAUAAUUUCUUCUUGAAAGUUUAAGCCGUACAAAUGAAUAUGGCCACCAAUACUCGAAAGAUUACAUAUGUAAGGAAAACAAAUAAGGAGAUUAGGAAUGGAACUGUAUCUAACAUAAAUCAGGUUUGUACGACUUUGGCUUGGAUAACACACGUUGUUUUCCAUGGCAUGAUCUUAUCAAGCUUGAUGCAAAUGGAAUACUUGGAGUUUACGAUAACAAAAAUUGAAGCUUCCAUAUGAACCCAAAUAUUCUAUACUGUGAGUUUAUCAUCGAUUGUAAUACAAAUGGAUGAAAUAUUGAUGUUAAUGUAUAGUUUUAACAUUGAAACCUGCAUAAUCCAAAAUUAGUGAGGAGACAACAAAUGAAUUUAAAUGUUCAAGAGUCAGUGUUGAUGGAACAUGAUCUAAAUUUCAGUAUACAAUUUUUUAAACAUAUACAUGAUCGAAAAAGUGUAUUUAACCUUCCUUGAUGGCUAAAAUCGAAGGAAUAACUUUGAUAUGUGUAUUCUAUGGUUAUCAAAAUUGUUAACGUGGUAUAGUGUUGGUGUAAAUACGUAGACAUGUUAAUUAAGUAAACUAAAAGAAAAAGGAUAAAAUAAAAUUUCUGUUGA